RNAcentral lists this ribosomal RNA (489 nucleotides) under uncultured bacterium. RNAcentral's name for it is "partial 16S ribosomal RNA". It matches the Rfam family "Bacterial small subunit ribosomal RNA", at positions 30 to 507 of the family's 1533-position model. The record is from RNAcentral.
UUGAACGCUGGCGGCAGGCUUAACACAUGCCAGUCGAGCGGUAGCACAGGGGAGCUUGCUCCCUGGGUGACGAGCGGCGGCCGGGUGAGUAAUGUCUGGGAAACUGCCUGAUGGAGGGGGAUAACUACUGGAAACGGUAGCUAAUACCGCAUAACGUCGCAAGACCCAAGAGGGGGACCUUCGGGCCUCUUGCCAUCAGAUGUGCCCAGAUGGGAUUAGCUAGUAGGUGGGGUAAUGGCUCACCUAGGCGACGAUCCCUAGCUGGUCUGAGAGGAUGACCAGCCACACUGGAACUGAGACACGGUCCAGACUCCUACGGGAGGCAGCAGUGGGGAAUAUUGCACAAUGGGCGCAAGCCUGAUGCAGCCAUGCCGCGUGUGUGAAGAAGGCCUUCGGGUUGUAAAGCACUUUCAGCGAGGAGGAAGGUGGUGAGCUUAAUACGUUCAUCAAUUGACGUUACUCGCAGAAGAAGCACCGGCUAACUCCGUG